Molecule: ribosomal RNA, 395 nt
Filed under: uncultured bacterium
Lineage: Bacteria
Description: partial 16S ribosomal RNA
Rfam family: Bacterial small subunit ribosomal RNA
Source: RNAcentral
CCUACGGGUGGCAGCAGUGAGGAAUAUUGGUCAAUGGGCGCGAGCCUGAAGCAGCCAAGCCGCGUGAAGGAUGACGGUCCUACGGGUUGUAAACUUCUUUUGUAAAGGAAUAAAGUGAGGGACGUGUGCCUUUUUGAAUGUACUUUAUGAACAAGGAUCGGCUAACCCCGUGCCAGCAGCCGCGGUAAUAAGGAGGAUGGGAGCGUUGUCCGGAUUUGAUGGGGUUAAAGGGAGCGUAGCUGGGUUGUUAAGUCAGGUGUGAAAGGCUGGGGCUCAACCGUAGAAUCGCAGUUGAUACUGGCAGUCUGGAGUAGAGUAGAGGUAGGCGGAAUGCGCGGUGUAGCGGUGAAAUGCUUAGAUAUCGCGAAGAACUCCGAUGGCGAAGGCAGCUUACU